GAUGAACGCUGGCGGCGUGCCUAAUACAUGCAAGUCGAGCGAACAGAUGAGGAGCUUGCUCCUCUGACGUUAGCGGCGGACGGGUGAGUAACACGUGGAUAACCUACCUAUAAGACUGGGAUAACUUCGGGAAACCGGAGCUAAUACCGGAUAAUAUAUUGAACCGCAUGGUUCAAUAGUGAAAGACGGUUUUGCUGUCACUUAUAGAUGGAUCCGCGCCGCAUUAGCUAGUUGGUAAGGUAACGGCUUUCCAAGGCAACGAUGCGUAGCCGACGUGAGAGAGUGGUAGGCCACACGGGAAGGGAGACACGGUCAAGACGCCUAAGGGAGGGAGCAGUAGGGAAUCGUCCGCAAUGGGCGAAAGCAUGACGGAGCAAGGCCGAGUGAGUGAUGAAGGUGUUCGGAUCGUAAAACUCUGUUAUUAGGGAAGAACAAAUGUGGAAGUAGCUAUGCACGUCUUGACGGUACCUAAUCAGAAAGCAACGGCUAACUACGUG
RNAcentral lists this ribosomal RNA (497 nucleotides) under uncultured bacterium. RNAcentral describes it as "partial 16S ribosomal RNA". It matches the Rfam family "Bacterial small subunit ribosomal RNA", at positions 28 to 507 of the family's 1533-position model. The record is from RNAcentral.